This 403-nucleotide ribosomal RNA is filed under the name uncultured bacterium. Its description in RNAcentral is "partial 16S ribosomal RNA". It matches the Rfam family "Bacterial small subunit ribosomal RNA", at positions 29 to 526 of the family's 1533-position model. The record is from RNAcentral.
AUUGAACGCUGGCGGCAGGCCUAACACAUGCAAGUCGAGCGAGCGGCGGACGGGCGAGCAAUGUAUGGGGACUGCCCGACCGAGCGGGAUCACUACUGGAAACGGUGGCCAAUACCGCAUACUAUUGGAUAACCCAUAUGGGAUUAGCUAGCAGGUGGGGUAAAGGCACACAAAGACGACGAUCACUACCUGGUCUGAGAGGAUGAAGGGCCAAACUGGGACUGAGACACGGCCCAGACUCCUACGGGGGCAGCAGUGGGGAAUAUUACACAAGGGGCGCAAGCCUGAUGCAGCCAUGCCGCGGGUAUGAAGAAGGCCUUAGGGUUGUAAAGUACUUUCGGCAGGGAAGCGUUACCCACAGAGGAAGCACCGGCUAACUCCGUGCCAGCAGCCGAGGUAAUUC